GAACAAGUCGGGAGCCACCGCAUCGCCGGCAUCGAGCGUCUUCUUACUCUGCAUCGCCGGAGCUCCGCCGCUCGAUCCCCCGCCAUCACUGCGUCCCCGGCCUCAUCGUCCCCUCCUCUGCGACCGCGGUGAGCACCCGCACCGAGCCCCUCUUGCCUUGCCCUUGCAUUAGAGCCAUAACACACUACCGACGUUGCCGUGCUCCGGCCGCCACUUAACGCCAUUGCUGUCAUCGAUUCCAUCAACCUUUGCUCACGACGCCAGCACAGGUAGAUGCGCUGCGUUGCGCUUGUUCCGUAGGUGAUCUCCGCGUGACGUUUGCUCAACAGAGCGACGAGUUUCAUGACCGCCGCCGCCCGCUAUGGUCGCCGACGUUACCACCGCCGUUCGUACUCACCGUCGUGUGGUCGCGCUCACGCGUGUCUCUGGCCGCCCGGCCGCUCGCACCGGCCGUGCCGGCCCGCGACCUUCCGCCGUUGCCUCACGUGCGCGUCCCAGCUGCCUGUUGCCGCCGCCGCUGUUGCUGCUUAUGCUACUGCCGCUGCCUGCCUGUGCUGACUAUCGUUGCUGCUGGUCAUGCUGCUACCACUGCUCGACUGCUGCCUGCGUCGCGUGCCUCGACCACCCCUGGCCGCGCUCAAUCGCUGCAGGCCGCGCUCGCCGCAAGCUCUUGUUUUCCCCACACCGACCGCGCGCCUGCAUGCGCCCUCCCGUGCUUGGCCGCGCCCGCGCCACGCCGAUACGCAUCGUUGCUCUACCUACUUCUGCUAGUUACUAUAGCUGCUGCUAGCUAGCUUUUCUAAUUCUACACUGACUAACAACCUAGAGAAUCCCUAAACAGCGACUAAACGAUGGUUAACAUGAGUAAGAACUAUAUGGGCAGAAAUUACACUUGACAAAAUUCAUUUUAUCCCACUGGACCAAAUCCAUUUGAUGUAAGGAUUAAAUCCUAUAAAAAUCACAAAAUCCUAUGUUCGUAUAUUUUAGUAGUUUCUGGAAUUAACUUGAAGUGGCACUUUUCAAAUACAGUUUCAAUCAAGCAAAUGAACUCUAACAUGGAUGUCAAUGAUACUGUCAUGUAGAUCACAGAAAGAUGAUAAAAAUUGGUAAAAUGCACUAAUUCAUAGGAUAUACGGAACACUGGUUAUAGCCUUUGAAAAACUGCUAAGUGAUGUUCAAAAACUGAACAAUUCUCAGAUUUAGCCAAUUUUCAGAAAAUUCCAUAAUAUUGAUUUAACUCGGAAAAAUCAUAGAAAAUAAACCGUAGCUCGGAUGGAAAAACUUUAUACACGAAAGUUGCUCAGAACGACAAGACGAAUCCGAAUAUGCUCUCCUCAUACCCGUCACAUGCCUCUAGCGUGAUGAACAUUGUACUUUCCCUUCCGUUUCAUCUGUCCGAUAAUCACCCGGAGCUGGGAGAACACUCACGGAUAAUUUCCCACUCCCACUAACUUGCGUAGUACUGCAUUAGGGCACACUUCGAGUAACGUGCAGCCAUGUCAUGCUUCUGUGAUUGCAUUUGUCUGCCUUUAUUUAUUGUUGCUUCCCCCUCUUCCCUGUCAAUAGACCCCGAGACCGAUGAUGACCCGAUGAUCGUCUACCUCGUCGAAGACCCGUUGUUGUCUGCAAAGCAACCAG
Molecule: long non-coding RNA, 1638 nt
Filed under: Triticum aestivum (bread wheat)
Lineage: Eukaryota; Viridiplantae; Streptophyta; Magnoliopsida; Poales; Poaceae
Description: long non-coding RNA (TAES_LNC003233)
Source: RNAcentral